GCUGGUGUGGCUCAGUGGUUGAGCAUCAACAAGAAGUCACCAGUUCAAUUCCUGUGCCACAAGAUUUUAAAAGAUAAAAGCUUAUGGUACAAGACCAGCAACAGUCAACGAACAGCGAGCACACAAAUACUGAAGAAAUUAUUCUUGAGGUUUAGGAUUCCAUUGCUUUGCAUUAUCAGCAGUGCCUGGACCAGAAUGGUCAUCAGUUUGAAAACAGGCAUAACAACAACAACAAAAAAACUAUUCAUUUCUGUAGAUUCUUUUAAGUUUUAAAAAAUUAACUGUACGUUAAUAAAGACUAACUUUAUAAUCAU
Molecule: long non-coding RNA, 314 nt
Organism: Myotis myotis
Lineage: Eukaryota; Metazoa; Chordata; Mammalia; Chiroptera; Vespertilionidae
Exons: 2
Source: RefSeq, a predicted model, not a curated record